CUCAUUUUUGUUUCUGUUUCAGGUCAGUUGAAGCCAUAUCCCUACCCAUACCAUUUAGGACACAAACUAUGGCAGUUUCCAUAUAAAUUCCACUUUACUCAUGGAAAGAUGCAUAGAACACUCUUCUAUGGCUUUGUCUGGUGUCUGUUUAUACAGCAUUCUCUGCAGAUAUUUUUGAGGUCCAAGAAAAUGGAUAUAUACUGGAAGGAAAAGAGGUCACAUUAUCAACACACUUUCUUUAUGCCACCAAAGCCGCCAACAUUUGGACGCCAUUAGAGAGACAUAUGCUGACUGUUCUAGGGAUUAUAUUGUAUUGUGGUAUCUUACCACAUUGAAAAGAACUUGUGAAUUUCGUAUUUUAGUUUGGUAAUAUUAUGGGAAUGAUGAUAUUGUGAAGUUUAUAACUAUAAAAUGCCUUAGACUGAAGUAUUUAUUACCCGAAUAAAUAUAGUUUUGAGUGAAAAAAACAACAAAAGUCAUAAAAUUGAAUAAAAAAUUUAUUUGGUAAAACAA
Molecule: long non-coding RNA, 513 nt
Organism: Mercenaria mercenaria
Lineage: Eukaryota; Metazoa; Mollusca; Bivalvia; Venerida; Veneridae
Exons: 3
Source: RefSeq, a predicted model, not a curated record